UGCCCAGGCCUCGCCCAAUGUGCUCCCGCUGUGCCCGCAAGCUGGGGCCUCGCUGGGUAGUCCCAGCCACGACUGGCCUCUCUGACCCGGGCCGGGGGUCUCGGCCAGAUUCCCUCUCUGCCCACCUCACCCCUGGGACUGAGGGCCACUGGGUCAUCUUGGGGGUCACGGCCCCCAUGGGCAGGGCUGGACCAGGGUGACCCAGAGAAGGGACUCUUGUCCCUGGUUUGCCCGGGGCCACCCUCGGAGAACCCCAGGGCCCCUCACGGGCGGUUCCUAUGCAGAGAUGUUGGCCCCGUCAGGGCGGGCAGCAGCCCAGGGCACUGACCCCAAACCUCCCGACUGUGUGGUCACUGCCCUUUAGUUCUCUUCGGAUGCUUCCAGAGGAAUCCGCGUCAGUCACCAGCUUCGAGCAUCUACCAGGGUGCCAGGGAGCUGAAAAGCACUGGGUAAAUACAGUCAGAGGAUGGUGAAUGAGUUCGGAAUAGGCCACCACCCUGUAGGACAGCUCACAUGCUCACCGGGUGACUGCUGAAUGAAUGAGCGAACACCCCCUUGGCUCAGAAAUGGAUCCCUUCCCUCCACUCUCCCUGCUGGCUGGCUUGGUGAAGAAGAAUUCACCAGAAACAGAAAAACGACGUAAAAAAAUGGAAUGAGACAAAAAAUAUAGUAGUGUGUGGGAUGAAGUGCUUGGCGGGACACCGGCUCCUAACACCCCGAGCAGCUCUCUCUGCUUCCCGCUGAUUCCACAAGUGAUCCGCGUUCCAUUCGGCAUCUACUUGCUGCGUCCUAAUACGAGCUAAGCCCAGGUCUGGAGCUUCCUAAUGCAAACCUGUCCUCCAAGAGCUUACGGGGCGCCUGGGGGCUCCGUCGGGUAAGCAUCUGACCCUUGGUUUCCGCUCAGGUCACGA
Long non-coding RNA from Herpailurus yagouaroundi (jaguarundi), 911 nucleotides. RefSeq lists it as uncharacterized. The record is from RefSeq and is a predicted model, not a curated record. Lineage: Eukaryota; Metazoa; Chordata; Mammalia; Carnivora; Felidae. The transcript has 3 exons.